Long non-coding RNA from Neofelis nebulosa (Clouded leopard), 906 nucleotides. RefSeq lists it as uncharacterized. The transcript has 2 exons. The record is from RefSeq and is a predicted model, not a curated record. Lineage: Eukaryota; Metazoa; Chordata; Mammalia; Carnivora; Felidae.
AACCUAUGGAGACAAGCUCUCUGGUACCUCACCCCAACCCGUGGAACAGGACCUCAGAGGGCACACAUGCCAGCUGAGGUAUGGCUUGGGUUGGUGGCCUGGCAAGCACAGGUCUUCAGUGUCCCAUCAGCCCAUGUCACUUGGGACCCACAUUUCCUGACAUCCACUGAGUGCAAAGCAGGAAGAACGAAAGCUGGUCCGUUCUGAGUCCUGGCUCUACCUCUGGCUAGCUGUGCAGCUUUGGCAAUUUCCUUAAUCUCACUGAGCCUGUUUCCUUAUCCAUAAAAUAGGGAUAUGACAAGAGUAUCUGCCUCCUUCUGUUGUGAUGAGGAAUAAAACAAGAGGGCUCCAGAGGCUGAAGCCUACCAUCUGGAUCACUACACACACCUGAUGCACGGUGACCAUGACUGUUUGCAGGGCACUGAGAAAAGCACCUGCUUGCAGUUGACCGGCUUUCCCAUACUGGGCCAUGCCUGAUGCUGGGGACUUCCACCUGGGGUCUUGGCUUCCCAAAUGAGCCUGUGAGACUAAGAACAGUCAGGACAGUCCCCAGACCUAUCCCCUUCUCUAGGUGGCAGGUUACUUGCUCCCUCAGCCAUACUCUUGAGGGUUCCUGCAAGGCCCCAAUGCUGAGGGCACAGCUGUAUUCUGGGCUUCGGCUCACACUUGCCCUCCCUAUCCUUCCUCUGACUGAUGGACUAAUCACCAGCCCUUGGCAUCCAGUUUAAAGGCCACUUCCUCCCAGAAGCCAUCCUGGACUCCCACAGGCAGAUGUGCCUGUCCCUCUGUAGACUCCUGCAGUACUUUUCCUGCCCCUGUUAGCCAUCUGGCAGCAGAACUACGGUGGCCCAACUGCUUGUCCUCACUGGGUGGGGAGCUCCUCCAGAACAAGGCCUCCUUUGGCUA